UAAAUUUAGAAAUUUUGAAUAGCAACAAGGGAUAAAUAAGCAAAAAAAAUUAUAGAUUGGAGAGAAAGGUAGUAUGUUAUCCGUUUUGUUUAUUUUUUUAAAAAAAUAAACUUAACUGAAAAUGUGAAUAAAUUAGGAUUCAAAUUUAGGAUAUCAGAUACCAACCACCAAACGUUUUGCCACUUGCAUUAGAAUAGGUCGGUCUCCUAGCGAUAAGUUGAUUUGUGUAAUAGAUGGUUAAAAUUUGGUUGAAGCAAUUAGGUCACACAGUGAACCACUUUUAUAUAAAUGGGGCACUUAUAUAAAAGUGUUACAAAAAUAUGUUCCUAUAAUCUAAUUUUAUUAUAGUGACAUAUACUUGGAUGCAUAAGGGUCUGGAUUUGGUC
Molecule: long non-coding RNA, 386 nt
Filed under: Ananas comosus (pineapple)
Lineage: Eukaryota; Viridiplantae; Streptophyta; Magnoliopsida; Poales; Bromeliaceae
Description: long non-coding RNA (ACOM_LNC012951)
Source: RNAcentral